UGGGUUGUAGUUCAGUGGUAAAGCACAUGCCUACCAUGCAUGAGGCUCUCGGUUUGAUGCCUAGCACCACAA
RNAcentral lists this transfer RNA (72 nucleotides) under Heterocephalus glaber (naked mole-rat). It matches the Rfam family "tRNA". From Rfam's summary of the family: Transfer RNA (tRNA) molecules are approximately 80 nucleotides in length. Their secondary structure includes four short double-helical elements and three loops (D, anti-codon, and T loops). Lineage: Eukaryota; Metazoa; Chordata; Mammalia; Rodentia; Bathyergidae. The record is from Rfam by way of RNAcentral.